GACGAACGCUGGCGGCGUGCUUAACACAUGCAAGUCGAACGGUGAAGCCCUUCGGGGUGGAUCAGUGGCGAACGGGUGAGUAACACGUGAGCAACCUGCCCCUGACUCUGGGAUAACUACCGGAAACGGUGGCUAAUACCGGAUAUUACUUGCCUGGGCAUCUGGGUGGGUGGAAAGGUUUGCGGUUGGGGAUGGGCUCGCGGCCUAGCAGCUUGGUGGUGGGGCGAUGGCCUACCAAGGCGACGACGGGUAGCCGGCCUGAGAGGGCGACCGGCCACACUGGGACUGAGACACGGCCCAGACUCCUACGGGAGGCAGCAGUGGGGAAUAGUGCGCAAUGGGCGAAAGCCUGACGCAGCGACGCCGCGUGGGGGAUGAAGGCCUUCGGGUUGUAAACCUCUUUCAGCAGGGAAGAAGCGUGAGUGACGGUACCUGCAGAAGAAGCACCGGCUAACUACGUGCCAGCCGCCGCGGUAA
Molecule: ribosomal RNA, 477 nt
Filed under: uncultured bacterium
Lineage: Bacteria
Description: partial 16S ribosomal RNA
Rfam family: Bacterial small subunit ribosomal RNA
Source: RNAcentral